AUACGUAGGUGGCAAGCGUUGUCCGGAUUUAUUGGGCGUAAAGCGAGCGCAGGCGGUUUUUUAAGUCUGAUGUGAAAGCCUUCGGCUCAACCGAAGAAGUGCAUCGGAAACUGGGAAACUUGAGUGCAGAAGAGGACAGUGGAACUCCAUGUGUAGCGGUUUUGAAAUGCGUAGAUAUAUGGAAGAACACCAGUGGCGAAGGCGGCUGUCUGGUCUGUAACUGACGCUGAGGCUCGAAAGUAUGGGUAGC
Molecule: ribosomal RNA, 250 nt
Filed under: uncultured bacterium
Lineage: Bacteria
Description: partial 16S ribosomal RNA
Rfam family: Bacterial small subunit ribosomal RNA
Source: RNAcentral